This 285-nucleotide long non-coding RNA is filed under the name Homo sapiens (human). Its description in RNAcentral is "non-protein coding lnc-GRM1-7:1". Lineage: Eukaryota; Metazoa; Chordata; Mammalia; Primates; Hominidae. The record is from RNAcentral.
GGAGCAUGAGAAUGGACUAAUACACACAUGAUCUUACUCAUAUGUGGAAUUUUUUUAAAAGUCAGUAUCAUAGAAGUAGAGAGUAGAACAGUGUUUACCAGAGAACGGGGAAGGAAGAGGGGAUGAGGAAGAUGGAGAGAGCUUAGUCAAGGACUCAAAGUUGCAAUUAGAUAGGAGGAAUACGUUCUGGUGUUCUCUUGCAUAGUAAGGUGACUAUGGUUAACAGUAAGGUAUUAUAUAAUCACAAAAUUGCUAGAAGAGAGGACUUUGAAUGUUCUCACCUCA